AACGAAGGGGAUAUAGACCAUCUCGUGGCUCGUCUGAAGGCAUAUGGCCCAAUCACAGCGAAGCGCCUGUGCUACGUCAAGAAAAGGGAUGCGCAUCAGCGUUACGCGGUGUCUUCUGCUCCUUAUUCAGAGCGGUAUCAACACGUGCAAGCAUUGGA
Molecule: long non-coding RNA, 158 nt
Organism: Pollicipes pollicipes
Lineage: Eukaryota; Metazoa; Arthropoda; Thecostraca; Pollicipedomorpha; Pollicipedidae
Exons: 3
Source: RefSeq, a predicted model, not a curated record